AUUAAUAUUAUAUUUAAAUAAAAUUUUGUAUUUAAUUUUUUUAUAAAAAUAUUUUAAAUAUUAAUUGUUUUAGUAUUUAGUAAAAAUUAAUUUAAAGAUUUAUAAUUAAUUAGUAUUGUAAAAGAAAUUUAAUAAAUUUUAUAAAGAUUUAAAUUUAGUACCUUUUGUAUCAGGGUUGAUUAAAAUAUUUAAUUUAUAAAUUAAAUUCUCAAAAUUUAUAGAGUUAAUUUUAUUAUUAAUUUAUUAUUUUAUAAAUAUUUAGAAAAUAAUUUUAGUUUUGAAAUGUAAUUCGUUAUAUUAUAUUUAGUUAUUUAAGAUUUAAAUUUAAUUUAUAAUUUUAAAAGUUAUAUUAAUUUAUUUUAUAUUAAUAUUUUAACUUUAAAAUAUUUUAGGGAUAAGCUUAAAAUUUUAAUAUAAUAUUUUUUGUAAAUUAAAUAUUUUAUAGGAAUAGAAAUUUUUAUUAAAAGUUUGUAAAAAUUUAUUAUUUUUUUUAUUUUAUUUAUUAUAAUUUAUUUAUUUUUAAUAUUAAAUUUUAUAAUAAAAUAUUUUUAUUAUAGUAAUAAUGAUUAAAUUAGUAUAAUUUUAUUUUAUUAAUUAUGAAUUUGGCAAAAUUUAUUUUCAUCUGUUUAUCAAAAACAUAGUAUUUAGUUUAAUUUAAUAUAUGAUCUGCUCAAUGAAUUUUUUUAAUAGCUGCAGUAUUUUGACUGUGCAAAGGUAGCAUAAUAAUUAGUCUUUUAAUUAAAGACUGGAAUGAAAGAUUUGAUGAAAAAUAAACUUUAUUAUUAAUAUAUUUAUAAUUUUAUUUUUAAGUAAAAAAGCUUAAAUAAUUUAAAGGGACGAUAAGACCCUAUAAAACUUUAUAAUUAUAAAAAUUUAUUUUUUUUUUGAAAAGUUAAUAUUUGAAUUUUAAUAAUUAUUUUAUUGGGGUGAUAAAAAAAUUUUAUGAACUUUUUUUAAAAUUAAACAUUAAUUAGUGUAUUUAUUGAAUUAAAAUUUUUAUUUAUAAGAAAAAGUUACUUUAGGGAUAACAGCGUAAUUAAUUUUUUAAGUUCAAAUUUUAAAAUUAGG
Molecule: ribosomal RNA, 1068 nt
Filed under: Ceratoglyphina roepkei
Lineage: Eukaryota; Metazoa; Arthropoda; Insecta; Hemiptera; Hormaphididae
Description: partial large subunit rRNA
Source: RNAcentral